This 544-nucleotide ribosomal RNA is filed under the name Daphnella varicosa. Its description in RNAcentral is "partial 16S ribosomal RNA". It matches the Rfam family "Bacterial large subunit ribosomal RNA", at positions 1802 to 2619 of the family's 2925-position model. The record is from RNAcentral. Lineage: Eukaryota; Metazoa; Mollusca; Gastropoda; Neogastropoda; Raphitomidae.
GUUUACCAAAAACAUGGCUUCUUGUAAUCAAAAAAUAAGGAGUCGGGCCUGCCCGGUGAAAAUUUUUAACGGCCGCGGUACUCUGACCGUGCAAAGGUAGCAUAAUAACUUGCCUUAUAAUUAAAGGCUGGUAUGAAUGGUUUGACAAGAAUGGUACUGUCUCUAUAUAGUUUAUUAGAAUUUUAUUUUAGGGUGAAGAAGCCUUAAUAAAAUUGAUAGACAAGAAGACCCUAUCGAGCUUUAAAAAAUUUAGAAAAUUAGAAUUUAAUAACUCUAAAAAAAAGUUUUUAAAAAUUUUAGUUGGGGCGACUGAGGAACAAUCAAAGCUUCCUUUAUAUUUUUUAACUUCUAGGUUUUGAUCCAAAAUAUUUUGAUUAAAAGAAUUAGUUACCGUAGGGAUAACAGCAUUAUCUUUUUUGAGAGUUCCUAUCGAAAAAAAGGUUUGUGACCUCGAUGUUGGACCAGAAUAUCCUAAAGGUGCAGAAGCCUUUAAGGGUUGGUCUGUUCGACCAUUAAAAUUCUACGUGAUCUGAGUUCAGACCGG